GAUGAACGCUGGCGGCGUGCCUAAUACAUGCAAGUCGAGCGAACAGACGAGGAGCUUGCUCCUCUGACGUUAGCGGCGGACGGGUGAGUAACACGUGGAUAACCUACCUAUAAGACUGGGAUAACUUCGGGAAACCGGAGCUAAUACCGGAUAAUAUAUUGAACCGCAUGGUUCAAUAGUGAAAGACGGUUUUGCUGUCACUUAUAGAUGGAUCCGCGCCGCAUUAGCUAGUUGGUAAGGUAACGGCUUACCAAGGCAACGAUGCGUAGCCGACCUGAGAGGGUGAUCGGCCACACUAGAACGGAGACACGGUCCAGACUCCUACGGGAGGCAGCAGUAGGGAAGCUUCCGCAAUGGGCGAAAGCUUGACGGAGCAACGCCGCGGGGGUGAUGAAGGUCUUCGGAUCGUAAAACUCUGUUAUUAGGGAAGAACAAAUGUGUAAGUAACUAUGCACGGCUUGACGGUACCUAAUCAGAAAGCCACGGCUAACUACGUG
Molecule: ribosomal RNA, 497 nt
Filed under: uncultured bacterium
Lineage: Bacteria
Description: partial 16S ribosomal RNA
Rfam family: Bacterial small subunit ribosomal RNA
Source: RNAcentral